Agrilus planipennis (emerald ash borer) is the source of this 400-nucleotide long non-coding RNA. RefSeq lists it as uncharacterized. NCBI's taxonomy places the organism in Eukaryota, Metazoa, Arthropoda, Insecta, Coleoptera, Buprestidae. The record is from RefSeq and is a predicted model, not a curated record. The transcript is spliced from 3 exons.
GGGCUAAGGCACCAGCAAAAAAUGUCUUAUCGAGAAAAGCUCGUUCGUUCAAGUCAACAUGUUUACUCCUAUUCUCAGUAUUAGUUAUAGUUUCGACUUCUUAACGUGUUGGUUAAAUUUUAUUAAACGUUAAAAUACUCUUGUUAGAACGAUUAAAACGGUUAGUUAAAUGUAUGCGAAAUAAGUUAAUUAAUGAGAUAUUUCGGGGACUAAAGUGAAUUGUGUGAAAUGUUAAGUGUGUGUGAAAUAGGAUUGUACAAAGCAACGAUUUGUGACGAUUGAUGAAGAUGGGCACAAAAUUGGCCUCAUCCAGAUUAGUCCUUUUCCGGGAAAUUCGGAAUUCUGUGCAAGGAAUUGAAGGACCAUAUUCGCAAGAUCUACUGCAAAAUCUUCUAAAAAG